UAAGCCCUGCUCAGAAGUCAAGAGCAGCAGCGCCGCCGCUCCUCGCAGCCUUUCAUGCUGCAGCCGCUUCUUAUUCUUGUGUCUCGGCCUCUCUGGGCGCCCCGGGACAAAGCCCCCAGAACCCGGCCGCUCCCUUCCCGCUAAAUCCCCUUCGGGGUCAGUGCGCUACCAGCACAGGGCCGCACGCCUCUCCUGCUAGCCGUGUGGCUCUUAAAGAGCCCUACACCCCUCCGCCCCGCGUGCUCCUCCGACCCCCGCCACCCCUCCCCUCUCCUCCGGAUCUAGCCCCCCACGCCGACGCCUGAGGUCCCUGCUGCCCCGAC
Long non-coding RNA from Neotoma lepida (desert woodrat), 323 nucleotides. It matches the Rfam family "Six3os1 conserved region 4". NCBI's taxonomy places the organism in Eukaryota, Metazoa, Chordata, Mammalia, Rodentia, Cricetidae. The record is from Rfam.